This 74-nucleotide transfer RNA is filed under the name Acidobacteriota bacterium. RNAcentral's name for it is "Acidobacteria bacterium tRNA-Leu". Lineage: Bacteria; Pseudomonadati; Acidobacteriota. RNAcentral also lists the same sequence under 1 other name. The record is from RNAcentral.
GCGGGAGUGAUGCAACAGGCAGACAUCGCUCGCCUAAAACGAGUGUCUUGGGAGUUCGAUUCUCCUCUCCCGCA